GACGAACGCUGGCGGCGUGCUUAACACAUGCAAGUCGAGCGGAAAGGCCCUUUCGGGGGUACUCGAGCGGCGAACGGGUGAGUAACACGUGAGUAAUCUGCCCCUGGCUUUGGGAUAGCCACCGGAAACGGUGAUUAAUACCGGAUACGACCACUUCUCGCAUGGGAUGGUGGUGGAAAGUUUUUCGGCCAAGGAUGUGAUCGCGGCCUAUCAGCUUGAUGGUGAGGUAAUGGCUCACCAUGGCUUCGACGGGUAGCCGGCCUGGGAGGGUGACCGGUCACACUGGGACUGAGACACGGCCCAGACUCCUACGGGAGGCAGCAGUGGGGAAUAUUGGACAAUGGGCGGAAGCCUGAUCCAGCAACGCCGCGUGAGGGAUGGCGGCCUUCGGGUUGUAAACCUCUUUCAGCAGGGACGAAGCGCAAGUGACGGUACCUGCAGAAGAAGCACCGGCCAACUACGUGCCAGCCGCCGCGGUAA
RNAcentral lists this ribosomal RNA (480 nucleotides) under uncultured bacterium. Its description in RNAcentral is "partial 16S ribosomal RNA". It matches the Rfam family "Bacterial small subunit ribosomal RNA", at positions 28 to 523 of the family's 1533-position model. The record is from RNAcentral.